This 301-nucleotide ribosomal RNA is filed under the name uncultured bacterium. RNAcentral describes it as "partial 16S ribosomal RNA". It matches the Rfam family "Bacterial small subunit ribosomal RNA", at positions 509 to 809 of the family's 1533-position model. The record is from RNAcentral.
CAGCAGCCGCGGUAAUACGAGGGGGGCAAGCGUUGUUCGGAAUUAUUGGGCGUAAAGGGCGCGUAGGCGGUUUGGCAAGUUUGGUGUGAAAUCUUCGGGCUCAACUCGAAGUCUGCAUCGAAAACUGCCGGGCUUGAGUAUGGGAGAGGUGAGUGGAAUUUCCGGUGUAGCGGUGAAAUGCGUAGAUAUCGGAAGGAACACCUGUGGCGAAAGCGGCUCACUGGACCAUUACUGACGCUGAGGCGCGAAAGCUAGGGGAGCAAACAGGAUUAGAUACCCCUGUAGUCCUGUCUCUUAUACC